Molecule: microRNA precursor, 61 nt
Filed under: Tribolium castaneum (red flour beetle)
Lineage: Eukaryota; Metazoa; Arthropoda; Insecta; Coleoptera; Tenebrionidae
Description: Tca-Mir-3-P7-v1_pre stem-loop
Source: RNAcentral
AGGUCCACCUUUUGCUUUUGUUGAUAUUUAUUUAACUAUCACUGGGCAAGGUAGACCUUGG